ACGGAAGGCAGCAGUGGGGAAUAUUGCACAAUGGGGGAAACCCUGAUGCAGCAACGCCGCGUGAGUGAUAACGGUCUUCGGAUUGUAAAGCUCUGUCUUUGGGGACGAUAAUGACGGUACCCAAGGAGGAAGCCACGGCUAACUACGUGCCAGCAGCCGCGGUAAUACGUAGGUGGCGAGCGUUGUCCGGAUUUACUGGGCGUAAAGGGAGCGUAGGCGGAUUCUUAAGUGGGAUGUGAAAUACCCGGGCUUAACCUGGGUGCUGCAUUCCAAACUGGGAAUCUAGAGUGCAGGAGGGGAGAGUGGAAUUCCUAGUGUAGCGGUGAAAUGCGUAGAGAUUAGGAAGAACACCAGUGGCGAAGGCGACUCUCUGGACUGUAACUGACGCUGAGGCUCGAAAGCGUGGGAGCAAACAGGAUUAGAUACCCUGGUA
This 433-nucleotide ribosomal RNA is filed under the name uncultured Clostridium sp. Its description in RNAcentral is "partial 16S ribosomal RNA". It matches the Rfam family "Bacterial small subunit ribosomal RNA", at positions 341 to 792 of the family's 1533-position model. The record is from RNAcentral. Lineage: Bacteria; Bacillati; Bacillota; Clostridia; Eubacteriales; Clostridiaceae.